Bombyx mori (domestic silkworm) is the source of this 84-nucleotide non-coding RNA. NCBI's taxonomy places the organism in Eukaryota, Metazoa, Arthropoda, Insecta, Lepidoptera, Bombycidae. The record is from Rfam.
UUAACUUAAAUUUGUAUGAAAUUGGAACGCUUACCUAUGAUUGCCGCUAGGGGCGCUGUUCCAACGGCAUACAGAUUCGAGUUA